Parasteatoda tepidariorum (common house spider) is the source of this 754-nucleotide non-coding RNA. The record is from RefSeq and is a predicted model, not a curated record. NCBI's taxonomy places the organism in Eukaryota, Metazoa, Arthropoda, Arachnida, Araneae, Theridiidae.
UAAUAAGAAAAAGAAACAAAAGUAAUGCAUAAAGAAAAAAACAAAAUAAGUUAAUUUAGUUAAAAAGUAAACGUAGAAAAGAGUAAAUUAGGCGCAUGGAAGUAAGCCAUGUAUAAGAAAAAGAACGCUUUAUGUAUAAAAACAAUGCGCAAAAUACAAUAAAAUUUAAAAUUUGAACAUAACUUUUUUCAGCAGGGAAAAAAUAGCGCAAAAGAAAAAUAAAAUAUAAAGGUAAUAGGGUUAAUUAAGUUUUAAAAAAAACAAACAAAUUUAGCGUGUAAAAUUAAUACAUAAAAAAGUUAACGUGAAAAAUAAAUGCCUAAGAAGAGAAGCGUAAAUAUAGGGUAUAAGGAAAAAAAAAUUAUAAAAUGUACGGUAAGCGAUAGCGAAAUAAAUAAAAGCAAUGCGUAAAAUUAAUAAUAAGAAAAAGAAACAAAAGUAAUGCAUUAAGAAAAAAACAAAAUAAGUUAAUUUAGUAAAAAAGUAAACGCUUAGGUUAAAGAUUCCUAUAAUGUUGCAUACGUGUUUCUGUCAUAAUAAUCAAUAUUUGAUAUUUUUCAGCCAUUGAAAACUUCACGAAAUAAAUACAAAUUCAACCAAGAUUCGUCAUCUUAGCUUUUUGAAGCCAUUGAAAACUUCACGAAAUAAAUACAAAUUCAACCAAGAUUCGUCAUCUUAGCUUUUUGAAGUCACUGAAAACUUCACGAAAUAAAUACAAAUUCAACCAAGAUUCGUCAUCUUAGCUUUUUGAAGG